Oncorhynchus keta (chum salmon) is the source of this 1174-nucleotide long non-coding RNA. RefSeq lists it as uncharacterized. NCBI's taxonomy places the organism in Eukaryota, Metazoa, Chordata, Actinopteri, Salmoniformes, Salmonidae. The transcript has 4 exons. The record is from RefSeq and is a predicted model, not a curated record.
UAGCAAAAUUAUGAGUAGUUUGUCCCUGUUACAGGUCCUGUUUGUCUUAAGGACAGGUCCUGUUUGUCUUAAGGACAGGUCCUGUUUGUCUCUGUUACAGGUCCUGUUUGUCUCUGUUACAGGUCCUGUUUGUCUCUGUUACAGGUCCUGUUUGUCUCUGUUACAGGUCCUGUUUGUCCCUGUUACAGGUCCUGUUUGUCUCUGUUACAGGUCCUGUUUGUCUCUGUUACAGGUCCUGUUUGUCCCUGUUACAGGUCCUGUUUGUCUCUGUUACAGGUCCUGUUUGUCUCUGUUACAGGUCCUGUUUGUCUCUGUUACAGGUCCUGUUUGUCCCUGUUACAGGUCCUGUUUGUCCCUGUUACAGGUCCUGUUUGUCCCUGUUACAGGUCCUGUUUGUCUCUGUUACAGGUCCUGUUUGUCUCUGUUACAGGUCCUGUUUGUCUUAAGGACAGAUCCUGUUUGUCCCUGUUACAGUUCCCAUUUGUCCCUGUUACAUUCACAACCUGGAACCCAUUUCCAUCAUGACCACCUAAUCAUCCCCUCAUUCCUAAUCGGCAGCCAUUUUUGUGCCAGAACACUCACCACACAUCAAUCAGCUAGCAUGGUGGAGAGGUGAAAUGAUGUGAUGAGCGUUCUGGCACAAAAUGGCUGCCGGUGCAUCACCCACACCUUGGUGGUGGAGAGGUGAAAUGAUGUGAUGAGCGUUCUGGCACAAAAAUGGCUGCCGGUGCACCACCCACACAAUGGUGGUGGAUGAGGUGAAAUUAUGUGAUGAGCGUUCUGGCACAAAAUGGCUGCCGGUGUACCACCCACACAAUGGUGGUGGAUGAGGUGAAAUGAUGUGAUGAGCGUUCUGGCACAAAAUGGCUGCCGUGCACCGUGAUGGAUGAGGUGAGUUUCACCCUUUACUAUGUAAAACGCUUUGAAUCCCUCAGUUGGUAGCGAGAGGGCGCGAUAUAAAUCCAACCCAUUAUUAUUAUUAUUAGUACGUUGUUCAUAUGCGACCAUUUUUACGAGCUGCUUUUACGAGUCCAGUCGUAGCUCCGGACUGAUAUCUAGGAAUAUGACAUAACACUGUUUAACAUCUCAUAAGCAUGACAUAGGGCAUGACAUAGGACAUGACAUAGGACAUGACAUAGGACUAUUGUUGCAAAAUUGCAGUAAUUUCCCCCAA